GCCUUCGUGGUGUAGUGGUGAGCCCGCUGUGCGCAUAUUCCAGAGGUCUGUGGUUCGAGUCCCGGUGAAGGCG
This 73-nucleotide transfer RNA is filed under the name Stegodyphus mimosarum. It matches the Rfam family "tRNA". Rfam says of the family: Transfer RNA (tRNA) molecules are approximately 80 nucleotides in length. Their secondary structure includes four short double-helical elements and three loops (D, anti-codon, and T loops). Further hydrogen bonds mediate the characteristic L-shaped molecular structure. tRNAs have two regions of fundamental functional importance: the anti-codon, which is responsible for specific mRNA codon recognition, and the 3' end, to which the tRNAs corresponding amino acid is attached (by aminoacyl-tRNA synthetases). tRNAs cope with the degeneracy of the genetic code in two manners: having more than one tRNA (with a specific anti-codon) for a particular amino acid; and 'wobble' base-pairing, i.e. permitting non-standard base-pairing at the 3rd anti-codon position. Lineage: Eukaryota; Metazoa; Arthropoda; Arachnida; Araneae; Eresidae. The record is from Rfam by way of RNAcentral.